AGAGUUUGAUCCUGGCUCAGAAUCAACGCUGGCGGCGUGCCUAACACAUGCAAGUCGAUCGAGAAAGUCUGGGUGUAGCAAUACAUCCGGGUGAGUAAAGUGGCGCACGGGUGAGUAACACGUAGCUAACCUGCCCUGGAGUGGGGGAUAACCCGGGGAAACCUGGGCUAAUACCGCAUAACAUCCCGAUGACGCAGGUUGUCGGGAUCAAAGGCCCGCAAGGGUCGCUCGAGGAGGGGGCUGCGGCCGAUUAGCUAGUUGGCAGGGUAAUGGCCUACCAAGGCUAUGAUCGGUAGCCGGCCUGAGAGGGCGCACGGCCACACUGGCACUGAAACACGGGCCAGACUCCUACGGGAGGCAGCAGUGGGGAAUUUUGCACAAUGCCCGAAAGGGUGAUGCAGCAACGCCGCGUGAGGGAUGAAGGCCUUCGGGUCGUAAACCUCUUUCGACCGGGAAAAACGGCCCUGUGAAUAACGGGGUCUGAUGGUACCGGUGGAAGAAGCCCCGGCCAACUACGUGCCAGCAGCCGCGGUAAUACGUAGGGGGCAAGCGUUGUACGGAAUUACUGGGCGUAAAGGGCGUGUAGGCGGUGCGGUAAGUCGGGCGUGAAAUCCCCGGGCUUAACCCGGGGCGGUCGUUCGAGACUGCCGUGCUAGGGUGCGGGAGGGGGAAGUGGAAUUCCCGGUGUAGCGGUGAAAUGCGUAGAUAUCGGGAGGAGCACCUGUGGCGAAGGCGGCUUCCUGGACCGUAACCGACGCUGAGGCGCGAAAGCUAGGGGAGCAAACAGGAUUAGAUACCCUGGUAGUCCUAGCCCUAAACGAUGAGCACUGGAUGUAGCCCCGCACGGGGCUGUGUCGGAGCUAACGCGUUAAGUGCUCCGCCUGGGGAGUACGGUCGCAAGGNUGAAACUCAAAUGAAUUGACGGGAAGGG
Molecule: ribosomal RNA, 931 nt
Filed under: uncultured bacterium
Lineage: Bacteria
Description: bacterial SSU rRNA
Rfam family: Bacterial small subunit ribosomal RNA
Source: RNAcentral